Papio anubis (olive baboon) is the source of this 117-nucleotide unclassified non-coding RNA. It matches the Rfam family "Metazoan signal recognition particle RNA". Rfam says of the family: The signal recognition particle (SRP) is a universally conserved ribonucleoprotein. It is involved in the co-translational targeting of proteins to membranes. The eukaryotic SRP consists of a 300-nucleotide 7S RNA and six proteins: SRPs 72, 68, 54, 19, 14, and 9. The record is from Ensembl. Lineage: Eukaryota; Metazoa; Chordata; Mammalia; Primates; Cercopithecidae.
GCUGGGCGCGGUGGCUCACGCCUGUAAUCCCAGCACUUUGGGAGGCCGAGGCAGGUGGAUCACCUGAGGUCAGGAGUUCAAGACCAGCCUGGCCAAUAUGGUGAAACCCUGUCUCUC